AUUGAACGCUGGCGGCAGGCCUAACACAUGCAAGUCGAGCGGAUGAAGGGAGCUUGCUCCUGGAUUCAGCGGCGGACGGGUGAGUAAUGCCUAGGAAUCUGCCUGGUAGUGGGGGAUAACGUCCGGAAACGGGCGCUAAUACCGCAUACGUCCUGAGGGAGAAAGUGGGGGAUCUUCGGACCUCACGCUAUCAGAUGAGCCUAGGUCGGAUUAGCUAGUUGGUGGGGUAAAGGCCUACCAAGGCGACGAUCCGUAACUGGUCUGAGAGGAUGACCAGUCACACUGGAACUGAGACACGGUCCAGACUCCUACGGGAGGCAGCAGUGGGGAAUAUUGGGCAAUGGGCGAAAGCCUGAUCCGGCCAUGCCGCGUGUGUGAAGAAGGUCUUCGGAUUGUAAAGCACUUUAAGUUGGGAGGAAGGGCAGUGAGUUAAUACCUUGCUGUUUUGACGUUACCAACAGAAUAAGCACCGGCUAACUUCGUG
RNAcentral lists this ribosomal RNA (484 nucleotides) under uncultured bacterium. RNAcentral's name for it is "partial 16S ribosomal RNA". It matches the Rfam family "Bacterial small subunit ribosomal RNA", at positions 30 to 507 of the family's 1533-position model. The record is from RNAcentral.